UACGGGGGGAGCAAGCGUUGUUCGGAUUUACUGGGCGUAAAGGGCGCGUAGGCGGUCGUGACAAGUCACUUGUGAAAUCUCCGGGCUUAACUCGGAACGGUCAAGUGAUACUGUCGGACUAGAGUACAGAAGGGGCAACUGGAAUUCUCGGUGUAGCGGUGAAAUGCGUAGAUAUCGGGAGGAACACCGUUGGCGAAGGCGACUUUCUGGGCUGGCUACUGACGCUGAAGCGCGAAAGCCAGGGGAGCGAACAGG
RNAcentral lists this ribosomal RNA (255 nucleotides) under uncultured bacterium. RNAcentral describes it as "partial 16S ribosomal RNA". It matches the Rfam family "Bacterial small subunit ribosomal RNA", at positions 524 to 776 of the family's 1533-position model. The record is from RNAcentral.